This is a long non-coding RNA of Xenia sp. Carnegie-2017, 284 nucleotides long. RefSeq lists it as uncharacterized. Lineage: Eukaryota; Metazoa; Cnidaria; Anthozoa; Malacalcyonacea; Xeniidae. The transcript is spliced from 2 exons. The record is from RefSeq and is a predicted model, not a curated record.
UCGAGCACUUCAGAAGAUCACACUUUCAUCUACGAAAUUAAAUAUUAAAUAAGGGCAUUUUCAUUGUGUUGUUGACGACGACAUUGUCAACGUAUAAAAUACAAGAGACAAGAAACAAGAAACAAUCCAAAGAAACAAGCCAAAAUAUCUGUGCAACACAUCAUCGCAAUCUAUAAAACAGAGAUUUUGUCGUGGUGACAAAUUUGAAUAUCGCCUUAAAGAGAGCAAUUGCCAUAGCGAAUGGACUGAAACCAAAUAAAAACCACGAAACCCUAGAUAAAACC